This is a long non-coding RNA of Centruroides sculpturatus (bark scorpion), 434 nucleotides long. RefSeq lists it as uncharacterized. NCBI's taxonomy places the organism in Eukaryota, Metazoa, Arthropoda, Arachnida, Scorpiones, Buthidae. The record is from RefSeq and is a predicted model, not a curated record. The transcript is spliced from 3 exons.
GUAUUAGUUACUCAACAGUCUAAUGAUGAAAAAAUUGUGGAAUUUGAUAAAGCUAUUAAUUAUUUUCAAUCAAGAUUAGGACUGAAAUUGAAAAGCACGGAAGAUCUUGGACUCUCAUUCAUAUUCACACACAUUAACCCUGAUAAUCAAGAUGAGCAGUUUGAGUUUUGCCUUAAGAUAAUAGAUAAUGAUGAAUACAGUGUUACAUUAUGUCAGCCAGAAAUACCAGAGGCAAAUGUGCUGCUUGAAAAACUGAACGAAACAAACGACCUGAAAAGUUUUGUGGCUGCCGUACGAGAGAAGUUCAAAGAGCAAAUAUCAAAGGAAUCAAAACACACUUCAUAAAUUUUAAACAACAGUUUAAUAUUGUGACACUGUAAAUUUUACAUGAUCAUUUUUAAAACCCAACAAUAAAGCUAAGUUUAAAUAUUUAC